Molecule: long non-coding RNA, 5779 nt
Organism: Mercenaria mercenaria
Lineage: Eukaryota; Metazoa; Mollusca; Bivalvia; Venerida; Veneridae
Exons: 4
Source: RefSeq, a predicted model, not a curated record
AAAUAGCGCAAUUUGACAUAUCGUAAACAACCUGUACAAGUCAUCACGUUCGGGACGAAAACCGCAUAAUGUAAAAUUACUCACGUAGGAAGUACGCGUGUGGCUUUGACUUUAUAUUUUUGUUUAUUGUGGCGUUUUAUUUUAUCAGUUCAAGUAAUCUUGUGUCAAGAUGAUUAAACGGGCGUGUCUACUCGUCCUUGUUGGUGUGUUCUUCGCCAGAAGUAAUGGGCAAUGGCCUCUUGGACAAAGCUUUUUUACUGGUAUGAACCAAAUGAUGAAUAACAUGAAUAACAUGGCGGUAAACAUGCAAGUUGCUGGCGAACAACGUCAAGUUUUAAUUGAAGAAGACAUGAGAAGGUCUUGGGAAGGCGUUCCAUUUGGAUCAGGAGGAAGUGUGUUCAUAACUUUUGAUGGUGGAUUAGGAUACGCUUAUAACUCGACGGAUGGUUCAUAUACGCUGUAUUCUUUAAGAUCUGGAAGUCCACCAAGUGGUUAUAUGUACCAUAUAAAUGCACAGGGUGGUACUACCUUUAAUAGUUGGUGAAAUUAUUCUAAAACACAUCGCACCAGAACGGACUGUCUGUAUUCAGCUUUGAAGAGGUGUUGACUUUUUUAUGUUUAGUGUUUGCUCCCGAAAUGUUAUUUAUUAUCAUUGCAAAACAAAUGAGUGUUAAGUGUACCAAAUGUUUUGAAUUUUAUAAGAUUUAUAACAUUGUCACGGAUAUGCAAUCCCGUAAAUAUUUUAAGACACUUUUAUUGGUUGCAAGACGCGACACAUUAAAUAAGAAGGUAAAAUAUUAAAAAGUGUACAAUACUGACCAAGAAAAAGAUGAUAUAUUUGUCAACAUUUUAUCAUUUUGUGACAUAUUUGAUAAAGUAAGUUACAAAGUUUUUAUGUUAUUGACCUCCUUUUAUAAUGAGAAAUUCAUAAACACAAUAAACAGUUUAUGUGAACAUGUUUUUACAGGGAAUAUAAUGAUUGACAAGAAACAAAUUGUUACAAUUUCUUUUAUUACAUAAAAUUGAUCAUUAUGCGUCUUUUCAUUCUCUUUUCUGUUAUUAAUUAAUUUCAUUUUUGUCGAGCCCGCUUGUGGUGAGCUCGACUAAGUCGUCACUUUUAGCGGUUCGGUGUAUGUUCGUGCAUGCGUGCGUCCGAAUUUGUCCGGACCAUAACUUUGACCUGCAUGGAGCAAUCUUGUUUAUAUUUGGCAUGAAUGUUCAUCAUUAUGAGACGGAGUGGCAUGCGCAAGAACCAAGUUCCUAGUUAAUGUCAAGGUCACACUUAGACGUCAAAGUUCAGAUACAAGAAUGACUUUGUCCAGAGCAUUUCUUCUUCAUGCAUAGAGGGAUUUUGAUGUAACUUUAAGUUAGCACAAUUGUCCACCAUCAUGAGACGGAGUGUCAUACGCAAGGACCUGGAAUUAAUUCCCUUUGUUGUUACUAUAAAUAGCUUAUAUUAUGACUUUUUUAUUACUGGUCGUAUGUAAAAAUCAAGACCACUUUUCUGUAGUACAACAUGCAUAUUACAUCCAAUUUUGAGGUGUAUUAUGACCUUUUUAUACUGGUAAGGAUUUUUGUGUGGACUUAGAUAUGUUUUGCACUCCCAGUCCUUUUGACAGCUGGCGGGCUCGACAUGUUGCCCGUGGGCAUCUUGUUUUGUUUUUUAAUAACACACUAUUUCGAUAUAAAGUCAAUGGAAUAAUACGUUGCCGUUACGCGAAUGUUAUUUUAACUUUUUUCUACGAAGGAAGAAUACAAUAAAUAAAACAAACCCGUAAAGUACUCCCAUGACAUUUUAGUGGGUAUUUUACAAAAGUUGUAGGUAACGAAUAUAAUUUCGUCACAGAUUGAAAACAAGAAAAUAUCGGUAAAACCGAUGGAUACUCCCCGAAAUAUGGUAUAUUGCAUAUUAAAACAGAAAAGCUGAAUUCAUCGACUUGAAACACACUGCGUCUUAGAAGUGAAGCUUCCAAAAGAAUUUCUUAGAACACAACCAGGUAGUCGAAAAGCAUGCGCAAGAUAUGUGCGUAUUUUCUUUUGAUUGAAACUCUCUGUGAAAUAUUGAUGAAUUUCAGCCAAGGAUUGCUUGGGAAUUAGGGAUGUCAACGGAUAUCCGGAUAUCCGGAUAUUCGGUCACGGGUACGAAUAUUCGGAUCUUAUUUAAGUAUUCGAAUAUUCGGUGGUAACAUACACAUUACUGAAAUAUUUAUUUUUAUGUUCAUAGCAUUGUAAUUUUUCGUCACGUAAAUAGCGUGUCAAAACGUAAUACACAGUCGUCAUGGUAAUGACGCAUACCCGACAGGUGUGCGAAACAUAAUUGUAAUCUUAAGUAGUCCUGUUUGGUCAAACAAUGCAAUUAUUGUCAAUUAAUAAUUAUGCGUAAUUUAAAAAGAAUGUGUUUACAAAUCGUCGGCAAAUAUUGCAGCUUUAAAGAAAAGACGUGGAGAGUGCGAAGGUAAUAAUUAGUGCACGUGCAUAUGAAAUUAGUACCUGCUUCUCUAAAACUUGAACUGAAAGUUACCCUAAAGUGCCAUAAACAUAUAUGCUUUAUGUCUUUAUUAUUGCUAAAAUCUUCAAGGAGGCUUGCAUCCUUUUUAUAUUCAGAACGUAUACAAUGUUUGGAAAGGUCAUUUAAAAAUGUAAACAGAUAAUAUAAAACAAAACUUUUCAUUAAGCUUACAACUGCAAACAAUAUAAGCUUUCUGUUACUUGUUUAGAAAUUUGUAAAUAUUGUGCAUUAAAAUAUUUGUAUUUUUUGUGCAUGUAUUGUUUUGUAUUUCUUGCAAUUUCGUGUAUAAAAUAUUUAACAUAAAAGCAUCAGAUACUACCACAGAAGCAUGUAUAUACGAUUAUCUAUCUCUGAAUGUUCAUUAUCGAUGUCUUGGAAUGCACAUUUUUGCAUGAACGUAAUGGUUUCCGCACUAAAAGGACUAUUAUACGAUUGCCGCUGACCUGACAUGACAUGAAGAAAAUUUUGGUCUAAAACGAAUAGCCUCAUUGACAAUUAGGAAAAUCAUACAGAUUUGCAGAAUAUAUACUAUCUGGUAUACAGAUAGCUGACAACAUAUAACGUUACUUGAAUAUUUGACAUAAACAUUGGCUAACACCUCGGGGUAAUGUUUAUUCAUAGGCAGACUGCAUGCCCUCAUAUACCACCUUAAGUAGCAAGUAUAAUAUCUAGUAUGAAUGGUUCCCUGGUGUUGUUUUUUCGGUUUUUUUUUGCAAAAGAAAUUCUCGCUCGCCAAAUGUGAAAUGCAGAAAAAAAGCAACGAUCAACGACAUUAAAUAGUUUUAUCGAUACUUUGUUUUAUACGGUGAAUAAACUUGUGACAUCAUAGCAUCAAAGUACUGAAUGGAAAACGUAAGAACUAUUUUAUGAGAGAACGAUUCACAACGUAUGGAUCAACAUGAAAUCCGGAAGUUGUAACAGUUUUUUAUAUUAUUAACUAUAUUUUCUUCUCAAUGUGAUAGGUUUUCAACUACAUGUAUAUAAUGUUUGUCUACAGAACGUUAUAACAUCAGCCUUUCGGCUAGCACCUUCAUCAGGAUAAGUCACAUACUAAAAUCAUUUUCCUUUCUCAAAGCAUACUAGCAUACUAAUCAGAGUAGAGACAGAUUUUUCUUAGAAAGUAAAAGUGAAAAAUUAGAAAAAAAACUAUUUUAAAGAAAAUUUUUUUUGGUAACUAGACAAGAUAUUCAUCAGGUUAUUCAGUCAGCUACAUUCAUCUAUGAAUUUACUUGAAUUAUUUUUAUCCGGAUUGACCUAUAUGCACUCCGAAACCAAGAAAAAGAUGAUAUAUUUGUCAACAUUUUAUCAUUUUGUGACAUAUUUGAUAAAGUAAGUUACAAAGUUUUUAUGUUAUUGACCUCCUUUUAUAAUGAGAAAUUCAUAAACACAAUAAACAGUUUAUGUGAACAUGUUUUUUACAGGGAAUAUAAUGAUUGACAAGAAACAAAUUGUUACAAUUUCUUUUAUUACAUAAAAUUGAUCAUUAUGCGUCUUUUCAUUCUCUUUUCUGUUAUUAAUUAAUUUCAUUUUUGUCGAGCCCGCUUGUGGUGAGCUCGACUAAGUCGCCACUUUUAGCGGUUCGGUGUAUGUUCGUGCGCGCGUGCGUCCGAAUUUGUCCGGACCAUAACUUUGACCUGCAUGGAGCAAUCUUGUUUAUAUUUGGCAUGAAUGUUUAUCAUUAUGAGACGGAGUGGCAUGCGCAAGAACCAAGUUCCUAGUUAAUGUCAAGGUCACACUUAGACGUCAAAGUUCAGAUACAAGAAUGACUUUGUCCAGAGCAUUUCUUCUUCAUGCAUAGAGGGAUUUUGAUGUAACUUUAAGUUAGCACAAUUGUCCACCAUCAUGAGACGGAGUGUCAUACGCAAGGACCUGGAAUUAAUUCCCUUUGUUGUUACUAUAAAUAGCUUAUAUUAUGACUUUUUUAUUACUGGUCGUAUGUAAAAAUCAAGACCACUUUUCUGUAGUACAACAUGCAUAUUACAUCCAAUUUUGAGGUGUAUUAUGACCUUUUUAUACUGGUAAGGAUUUUUGUGUGGACUUAGAUUUGUUUUGCACUCCCAGUCCUUUUGACAGCUCGCGGGCUCGACAUGUUGCCCGUGGGCAUCUUGUUUUGUUUUUUAAUAACACACUAUUUCGAUAUAAAGUCAAUGGAAUAAUACGUUGCCGUUACGCGAAUGUUAUUUUAACUUUUUUCUACGAAGGAAGAAUACAAUAAAUAAAACAAACCCGUAAAGUACUCCCAUGAUAUUUUAGUGGGUAUUUUACAAAAGUUGUAGGUAACGAAUAUAAUUUCGUCACAGAUUGAAAACAAGAAAAUAUCGGUAAAACCGAUGGAUACUCCCCGAAAUAUGGUAUAUUGCAUAUUAAAACAGAAAAGCUGAAUUCAUCGACUUGAAACACACUGCGUCUUAGAAGUGAAGCUUCCAAAAGAAUUUCUUAGAACACAACCAGGUAGUCGAAAAGCAUGCGCAAGAUAUGUGCGUAUUUUCUUUUGAUUGAAACUCUCUGUGAAAUAUUGAUGAAUUUCAGCCAAGGAUUGCUUGGGAAAUAAAUGGGGAUACUUGAAUUCAAGUGGCACUAUAGUUUACUAAAUGUUGAAUAAUCAGAGGGCAAUAACUCCUUGAAAAAUAUCAUCCGACCGAAACAUGAAGCUAAUUUGUGCAUUUCCACUUGAGAGGGAAGCAUUCUUUAAAUUUUCGAAUUUGACAAGCCAGUGGCUGCUGAAGAAUACUUCAGAUAAGAAAUACUUUAGUAUACUAAUGUUGAAUAAUCAAAAGAUCUUGUAUUUUCUUAAUUACUCUCAGAUUACGGAAACGUGUAAUUUCAUUGCCUUUAUAAUGGAAACUGAAUUAUUGAAAAAAUCUAAAAUGGUGUGAAAACCGGAGAGAUGAAAAAUGAUUGAUAUAAUACAAAGAAAUUUAUACAAUAUAUUAUCCUUUUGAAUUGUUAAUUCUUAUUCUUUAAGUUGUCAAUAUUAGAAUUUCAUUAACUGUUUGAACAAAACUGCACUUUGUCUGUUAAAACUCUUGAUUCUUCAAGGCAGCGAACUCGUUAUGACAAUCAUCAAUUUAUGUGCGAUUACGUAUUCUCGUGUGCUUUUUCGGAAUCCUUCGGACACAAACAACCAGAGAGCGCCGGGAUCGCAUACAGAAAAUACGUAAUAAAACGGAAACUGUCGAUUGUCACUACGUGUCCACUACCUUCAGCUUUAACAUAAUGUUAAAACGAGAAUGUACAUGUACUUGAAUUAAUAAAUUCUACAUUGCUAGA